UGGGGAAUUUUUCGCAAUGGGGGCAACCCUGACGAAGCAAUGCCGCGUGGAUGAAGAAGGCCUUCGGGUUGUAAAGUCCUUUCGUGGAGGACGAAAAGGUGGGUUCUAAUACUAUCUGCUAUUGACGUGAAUCCAAGAAGAAGCACCGGCUAACUCCGUGCCAGCAGCCGCGGUAAUACGGGGGGUGCAAGCGUUAAUCGGAAUCACUGGGCGUAAAGGGUGUGUAGACGGUACGUUAGGUCUGUCGUGAAAUCCCCGGGCUCAACCUGGGAAUGGCGGUAGAAACCGGCGCACUAGAGUAUGGGAGAGGGUGGUGGAAUUCCAGGUGUAGCGGUGAAAUGCGUAGAUAUCUGGGAGGAACAUCCAGUGGGCGAAGGCGGCCGCCUGGGCCCAUAACUGACGCUGGAGGCACGAAAGACGUGGGGGACAAACA
RNAcentral lists this ribosomal RNA (433 nucleotides) under uncultured bacterium. RNAcentral describes it as "bacterial SSU rRNA". It matches the Rfam family "Bacterial small subunit ribosomal RNA", at positions 355 to 774 of the family's 1533-position model. The record is from RNAcentral.